CACAACCUUGUAUGUGGAGCUGCUACUCUACAGGCUCGCGAAGCCACAUCAUACUCGCUCAAUAAUAACAAGCCACAACUACCACCAAUAACCAGUGGAGUCUGCAACUGGGUUUUCUUUACAACCUCCAGAUUGACUUGUUUUCCUUGGUGGGUAAUCUUUGAUUCAUCUAGUCAUGGCCUCCUUAAUGCUCAAUGGAGCUGAGAACUUCACUCUCAUGAGCGGCAUAACCCCAAAAGGGUUAGGUUUUUUGGGUUCGGAUUUUCAUGGGAACCACUUUCCUAGAGUGAAUUUAAUCAGUAGCUCUAGAAUCUCCAGGACAAGAACAGUGAUGCCCAAGUGCAAUUUAUCAGCCUCUAGGCCAGCUUCUCAGCCCAGGUUCAUCCAACACAAGAAAGAGGCUUUUUGGUUCUACCGGUUCCUGUCAAUUGUAUAUGAUCAUGUGAUAAAUCCUGGGCACUGGACUGAGGACAUGAGAGACGAUGCGCUAGAGCCUGCGGAUCUCAAUAACAGGAAUUUGCUAGUUGUAGAUGUUGGCGGUGGCACCGGUUUCACUACUUUGGGUAUUGUAAAGCAUGUGGAUGCCCAAAAUGUUACCAUUCUUGAUCAGUCCCCGCAUCAGCUUGCAAAGGCCAAGCAGAAGGAGCCCUUAAAGGAUUGUAAGAUAAUUGAGGGCGACGCAGAGGAUCUGCCAUUUCCUACUGAUUAUGCGGACAGAUAUGUGUCCGCUGGGAGGUAUGUCUCUUAUUUGAAUUGAAUUUCAAAGUUUGGUUAUUUGAUGCUCUAUUCAAUUGGUGUGAUGAUUUUCUUUGGCUUGUGACUUGAUGGCUGGACUGUACCGCUGUAGUCAUGGUUCCAUUUCUGCAAAUUGUAUGAUCAGAUUGAGCUGUUAUUAACUAAUUAUUAUUUUUUAGCACUGCUUAUGCCGUAGAGCAAUUCUUUCUGUCAAGUUUCCAUUCAUCAAUGAUGCUUUUCUGUAACUUUUGCAAGAGGUGAGGUCAAAUUGGUACAUGCACCUAUGUAUUUUACCAUGUAUCUGAGUGUGUGUGAAUUAGUUAUGUGCCAUGGAUGUGAUAAAAGUUUGAAAUGAGAAUUGCUAAGGAGUGCAUAGAGGCAAUUUGGUAACUACAUAUUUUGUCUGUUUGAACCGGAUAAUGGUAGAUUCACAAGAGAAAAGUAAACUUCAUAUUUAUAUUGAACUUUGAGUCAACUUCCCUAGUAAUGGAACUUACACAAUUGCAUCUUUUCAGUAUUGAGUACUGGCCAGACCCACAACGUGGCAUCAAGGAAGCAUACAGGGUCCUGAAACUAGGAGGAAAAGCCUGCUUAAUUGGUCCAGUAUAUCCAACAUUUUGGUUGUCUCGCUUCUUUGCAGAUGUAUGGAUGCUCUUCCCAAAGGAAGAAGAGUACAUUGAAUGGUUUGAAAAGGCUGGGUUUAAGGAUGUUCAACUGAAGCGUAUUGGCCCAAAAUGGUAUCGUGGUGUUCGCCGGCAUGGGCUAAUCAUGGGAUGUUCUGUGACAGGGGUUAAACCUGCAUCUGGAGAUUCUCCUUUAAAGGUAAUUAUUCUUGUCUCGUUAUGGAUAUCUGGCUAUAGAUAGCACAUAUCAGUUGCUCUCUUGGUGCUUUUGGUUGUGUUUUGUAAUGUAUGGGAGAUAUGAGUUCAAAAACCUGUUGUGUAGCAUUCUUUUAUUUAGCUUUCUACUUUUCUGUUUUAUGGGUAUUGUUGUUAAAAUUUCAAAUGCUGUAGCAGACUAGGAAUUAGAAGGGGAGUGAAAAACUUAGGGAGUGAGAACUCCUAAUCAUAGUGCUAAACUGAAAAUCUACUUCUAUGAUAAAAGACUAUAUUGAUCACUAACAAUAGAAAUCAAAGAGUGGUACCCAAAGAUGGAAAUGGAUCCUUGUAACUUGUUGUCAGGAUUAAAACUACUUGGAAUGGUGGUAAUGCGCAAGUGAUGCUCCUGUUUCUAAUGUUGAUUAAUAUAAUUAGUGAUUGGCGGAGAUAAUCUCUCUAUCAAUUCAAGUGUCUGUCUUAUUAUUUAUUUAUUUCUUACUUUUAUUACAGCUUGGUCCAAAGGAAGAGGACAUAGCAAAGCCAGUGAACCCAUUUGUGUUCCUUCUGCGUUUUAUUUUGGGUGGCUUGGCGGCAGCGUACUAUGUGCUGGUGCCUAUCUACAUGUGGCUUAAAGAUCAAAUUGUACCCAAGGGUAGACCAAUCUGAGACUAAAAGGGAUUUUUAGAGUUCCUUAAGUGGGCCAUUUUAUUUUUAAUUUAUAGACAAUUUCCUCCUGUGUGGGCACACAAGUAAAUUAGACAUAUGCUUUUAAUUAGAUGCCUCUCCUUUGAUUUUUCUAAUUCUAGUUGUGAAAUUCAUUUUUCAUACAGCCGGCCGCUAGUAUUAGUAUUGAAUAUUGAUGUUGAUGGUGAUUUGCAAUCCAAAUUCUCUAACCGCGCGCUGUUGG
This 2460-nucleotide unclassified non-coding RNA is filed under the name Hevea brasiliensis (rubber tree). Lineage: Eukaryota; Viridiplantae; Streptophyta; Magnoliopsida; Malpighiales; Euphorbiaceae. The record is from RNAcentral.